Molecule: long non-coding RNA, 712 nt
Organism: Felis catus (domestic cat)
Lineage: Eukaryota; Metazoa; Chordata; Mammalia; Carnivora; Felidae
Exons: 3
Source: RefSeq, a predicted model, not a curated record
CCCUGAGCUCUGGGCGUCAGCCUGUUGGCCCAGCCGAAAGGCUGCCGGGGGAAGUUUGGCUGAAAAAAACGUAGAGUUGAGGGAACUGAUUUUUUUUUUUUUCAGCCACAGAGUCGUAAACAUAAACUAGAAGAUGCAUCCCUUCCUUCACGGGAGACCAUCAAAAACACAGUACAAGUUUAUGGAGGGAAUGUGUCUUUCUUACACGAGAUAUUUUCCCCCAAACACUUGGCAGGUGAAACCACUCCAUUCCAGAGGAAAAGAAAAAAGAGAAUGGCUACAGGACUGCAAUAAGUGAGCCGUGUCACAGCCAGCCACCACAACAAGCCAGACAGAGGUCUGGAGCUGCUGCAGCCAUCCUGCUAUUAUCAGGCAACGAACAUGAAGACAAAGACUUUCACACUAAAGUUGGCAGAGGGGAGCCUGGAGCCUGGAGCUUCCGCACCAGCCAUGGACUGCCCACUCCUGAACUGCUUGCUGUAUGGAACAAAUACCUUCCUGCCCCCUUUGUGUCUUAGGACAGUGUUUUUUAGGUUAUCUCGUAUAGCCAUAUGCAUCCUUAAUUGUUAUACCACCCUCCCCCAGUUAGAAAUGCUGAGCCUAUGCAGAAAAGGAUCUCUCGGGGUGACUGGGUGACUCAGUCAGUUAAGCGUCUGACUCUUGAUUUCAGCUCAGGUCAUGGUCUCACAGUCACGAGAUUGAGUCCCGGGUC